UACGUAGGGUGCGAGCGUUGUCCGGAAUUAUUGGGCGUAAAGAGCUCGUAGGCGGCUUGUCACGUCGGUUGUGAAAGCCCGGGGCUUAACCCCGGGUCUGCAGUCGAUACGGGGCAGGCUAGAGUUCGGUAGGGGAGAUCGGAAUUCCUGGUGUAGCGGUGAAAUGCGUAGAUAUCGGGAGGAACAUCGAUGGCGAAGGCAAUCACCUGGGCCUGAACUGACACUGAGACACGAAAAGCGUGGGUAGCAAACAGG
This 255-nucleotide ribosomal RNA is filed under the name uncultured bacterium. RNAcentral's name for it is "partial 16S ribosomal RNA". It matches the Rfam family "Bacterial small subunit ribosomal RNA", at positions 524 to 776 of the family's 1533-position model. The record is from RNAcentral.